RNAcentral lists this ribosomal RNA (1346 nucleotides) under uncultured bacterium. RNAcentral's name for it is "partial 16S ribosomal RNA". It matches the Rfam family "Bacterial small subunit ribosomal RNA", at positions 28 to 1381 of the family's 1533-position model. The record is from RNAcentral.
GACGAACGCUGGCGGCGUGCUUAACACAUGCAAGUCGAACGGAAAGGCCCUGCUUUUGUGGGGUGCUCGAGUGGCGAACGGGUGAGUAACACGUGAGUAACCUGCCCUUGACUUUGGGAUAACUUCAGGAAACUGGGGCUAAUACCGGAUAGGAGCUCCUGCUGCAUGGUGGGGGUUGGAAAGUUUCGGCGGUUGGGGAUGGACUCGCGGCUUAUCAGCUUGUUGGUGGGGUAGUGGCUUACCAAGGCUUUGACGGGUAGCCGGCCUGAGAGGGUGACCGGCCACAUUGGGACUGAGAUACGGCCCAGACUCCUACGGGAGGCAGCAGUGGGGAAUAUUGCACAAUGGGCGGAAGCCUGAUGCAGCAACGCCGCGUGCGGGAUGACGGCCUUCGGGUUGUAAACCGCUUUCGCCUGUGACGAAGCGUGAGUGACGGUAAUGGGUAAAGAAGCACCGGCUAACUACGUGCCAGCAGCCGCGGUGAUACGUAGGGUGCGAGCGUUGUCCGGAUUUAUUGGGCGUAAAGGGCUCGUAGGUGGUUGAUCGCGUCGGAAGUGUAAUCUUGGGGCUUAACCCUGAGCGUGCUUUCGAUACGGGUUGACUUGAGGAAGGUAGGAGAGAAUGGAAUUCCUGGUGGAGCGGUGGAAUGCGCAGAUAUCAGGAGGAACACCAGUGGCGAAGGCGGUUCUCUGGGCCUUUCCUGACGCUGAGGAGCGAAAGCGUGGGGAGCGAACAGGCUUAGAUACCCUGGUAGUCCACGCUGUAAACGGUGGGUACUAGGUGUGGGGUCCAUUCCACGGGUUCCGUGCCGUAGCUAACGCUUUAAGUACCCCGCCUGGGGAGUACGGCCGCAAGGCUAAAACUCAAAGGAAUUGACGGGGCCCCGCACAAGCGGCGGAGCAUGCGGAUUAAUUCGAUGCAACGCGUAGAACCUUACCUGGGUUUGACAUGGAUCGGGAGUGCUCAGAGAUGGGUGUGCCUCUUUUGGGGUCGGUUCACAGGUGGUGCAUGGCUGUCGUCAGCUCGUGUCGUGAGAUGUUGGGUUAAGUCCCGCAACGAGCGCAACCCUUGUUCACUGUUGCCAGCACGUUAUGGUGGGGACUCAGUGGAGACCGCCGGGGUCAACUCGGAGGAAGGUGGGGAUGACGUCAAGUCAUCAUGCCCCUUAUGUCCAGGGCUUCACGCAUGCUACAAUGGCUGGUACAGAGAGUGGCGAGCCUGUGAGGGUGAGCGAAUCUCGGAAAGCCGGUCUCAGUUCGGAUUGGGGUCUGCAACUCGACCUCAUGAAGUCGGAGUCGCUAGUAAUCGCAGAUCAGCAACGCUGCGGUGAAUACGUUCCCGGGGCU